CCUUCCAAGUCAGUCCUGCAUACAGGGUGCCUACUCUUCUUUUCCUGAACGACUUGCCAUCUCCUUCUUUCUCCACUCAGUUUGGCAAGGAAGGCAAGGCUCCCUUUAGUUUCAGUAUCCAAGGGCUGUGGGUAAAGGUUUCUUCUCUGUAGGAGGCUUUUCUUUCCCCAGCCCAAUGGAUUCUCCAGAUCUGGCUAGUCUCUGCUAGUUAGGCUAAGAAUGACACCAGGUUCCCCUUGGGCCUUUUCCAACCUACUUGCUAAGCUUGGGUAAUUUCCUGGCAAAGAGACCCAGCCUGACGACCCCUUCUUGAAGCCCAAGGGUCUCCUCUUGAGAGAAACAAGAGCAGAUGGAGAACCAUCCAGUCCCCUGGGACAGCAGGACAAUCUAGACAAGCUCUUACAGAACGCCAGCAACCAGCUGCAGAGGAAACAGAAUUGGAGAAGUAGUAGGAGAGCCAAGACAGAGCAAAGCUGAUGGUUUCACAAGCCAGAAUGCAGAACUGAGCAAG
This 511-nucleotide long non-coding RNA is filed under the name Bos indicus x Bos taurus (hybrid cattle). RNAcentral's name for it is "lncRNA (ENSBIXG00000005002.1)". The record is from RNAcentral. Lineage: Eukaryota; Metazoa; Chordata; Mammalia; Artiodactyla; Bovidae.